This 242-nucleotide long non-coding RNA is filed under the name Mytilus galloprovincialis (Mediterranean mussel). Lineage: Eukaryota; Metazoa; Mollusca; Bivalvia; Mytilida; Mytilidae. The record is from RNAcentral.
GGGGGGGGGGGCUAUGGUUUUUUUUGGAAAAAAAAGUUUGUUUCCAGUUUUUUGAGAAAAAAAUAAUUUGUUUUUGAUUCUGAGAAAAAAAAAUUGUUUGUUUCACCCUCAGCUGCCACUAUAUGAAAUGCUAAAAUUGAAAGAAAAAAAUUGUUUUCGACUUGUCGCGAAAAAAAUAGAUUGUUUUUCGCCGCAGGCGAAAAAAAAAGUUUGCACAGAAAAAAAAAACCAUAGCCCCCCCA